GCCUAAUACAUGCAAGUCGAGCGCGCCCUUCGGGGUGAGCGGCGGACGGGUGAGUAACGCGUGGGAACCUGCCCUGGAGUGGGGAACAACCUUUGGAAACGAAGGCUAAUACCGCAUACGCUCUACGGAGGAAAGGCUUCGGCCGCUCCAGGAUGGUCCCGCGUCUGAUUAGCUUGUUGGUGGGGUAACGGCCUACCAAGGCGACGAUCAGUAGCUGGUCUGAGAGGAUGAUC
RNAcentral lists this ribosomal RNA (233 nucleotides) under uncultured bacterium. RNAcentral describes it as "partial 16S ribosomal RNA". It matches the Rfam family "Bacterial small subunit ribosomal RNA", at positions 46 to 305 of the family's 1533-position model. The record is from RNAcentral.